This 254-nucleotide long non-coding RNA is filed under the name Capra hircus (goat). Its description in RNAcentral is "lncRNA (ENSCHIG00000006880.1)". Lineage: Eukaryota; Metazoa; Chordata; Mammalia; Artiodactyla; Bovidae. The record is from RNAcentral.
ACCAGGCAGAGGAAGAGAAGUGUCUUUCAAUUCUAAGACAUGUUUUUCUGCUUAUGUCAAGAUACCAACUUGUGGUACAUAUCCAUUUUAUUGGGUGUUCUUGUUGGGCAAGAAGUCUUGUGGGAAAAUGGAAAGAGAGGAGUAUAAACAACUCUAAAGGUAAUUCAAGUCUAAUAUGAGUAAGAUAUUGUUUUUGUAUAAUUUAUUUUGUAUUAAACAGAGUUUUUUGUGUGUGUGUAUGUGUCUUUUGAAAG